This 450-nucleotide ribosomal RNA is filed under the name uncultured bacterium. RNAcentral's name for it is "partial 16S ribosomal RNA". It matches the Rfam family "Bacterial small subunit ribosomal RNA", at positions 354 to 796 of the family's 1533-position model. The record is from RNAcentral.
GUGGGGAAUUUUGGACAAUGGGCGCAAGCCUGAUCCAGCAAUGUCGCGUGCAGGAAGAAGGCCUUCGGGUUGUAAACUGCUUUUGUACGGAACGAAACGGUCCGGGUUAAUACCCUGGGCUAAUGACGGUACCGUAAGAAUAAGCACCGGCUAACUACGUGCCAGCAGCCGCGGUAAUACGUAGGGUGCAAGCGUUAAUCGGAAUUACUGGGCGUAAAGCGUGCGCAGGCGGUGCUGUAAGACAGGCGUGAAAUCCCCGGGCUCAACCUGGGCAGUGGGCGUGUGACUGCAGUGCUGGAGUGCGGCAGAGGGGGAUGGAAUUCCGCGUGUAGCAGUGAAAUGCGUAGAUAUGCGGAGGAACACCGAUGGCGAAGGCAAUCCCCUGGGCCUGCACUGACGCUCAUGCACGAAAGCGUGGGGAGCAAACAGGAUUAGAUACCCUGGUAGUCC